Molecule: ribosomal RNA, 412 nt
Filed under: gamma proteobacterium SCGC AAA487-G05
Lineage: Bacteria; Pseudomonadati; Pseudomonadota; Gammaproteobacteria
Description: partial 16S small subunit ribosomal RNA
Rfam family: Bacterial small subunit ribosomal RNA
Source: RNAcentral
CAAUGGGCGCAAGCCUGAUCCAGCCAUGCCGCGUGUGUGAAGAAGGCCUUCGGGUUGUAAAGCACUUUNNNCCGGGAGGAAGGNGCUCNNNUUAAUACCNGGGGCUNUUGACGUUACCGNCAGAAUAAGCACCGGCUAACUCCGUGCCAGCAGCCGCGGUAAUACGGAGGGUGCAAGCGUUAAUCGGAAUUACUGGGCGUAAAGCGCGCGCAGGCGGUUUGNUAAGUCAGAUGUGAAAUCCCCGGGCUCAACCUGGGAACUGCAUUUCGAAACUGNCNGGCUAGAGUCUGGUAGAGGGGGGUGGAAUUCCNNGUGUAGCGGUGAAAUGCGUAGANAUCUGGAGGAACACCGGUGGCGAAGGCGGCCCCCUGGACCNAGACUGACGCUCANGNGCGAAAGCGUGGGGAGCAAA